GUACGGUAAUAAACGUAAGUGGACUUUUAUGUUUAUUUUAAUGCUAAAUGCUUUGUUCAUGUGCGUACGUCAGCUGAUGUACCCAAAGGAUAACUUGACUUAAUUUAGUUUUAAAGGUAAAAAAAAAAAGGGUAUAAAACACAUACACUCAUACAUCUAAAGGGAUACAUUAUACAUUAGCUUUGGCACAAACAGGCAUUUAUCUAUAAUGGAAGAUAAAUUCUAACAGAGCACAGAUGAACGAGUUUUUUUAAACACAGCAAUUUACACAUACAUACAAACAUAUAAACGCACAACCAAACACAAAAAGCAUUACCGUGUACCUGAUGAGCGUAAGUGGGAAAAGAGGGAAAGGAAAAAUGGAAAUUUUAAAGAAUUUUUUCUUGUUGUCAUUUCUGUUCAUUGUUGGGCUGAUUGCAAGUUUAGUCAAACGACAAAUUAAUAGGGCAAAGAGAAGUUUGCGUGACCAAGAAAUUUACUGAUUAAGCAGAAUAGCCAAAGAAUUUAAAGGUCAUAAUAAAGUAAUAUAAUAAUAAUAUCAACGGUGUGCAAAGGAUGUACAAACAACAACAACAACAACAAAAAAAACACUACGCAUUAUCAUCAACAAGAGCAGUUUUUGCCCAGACACCAGGUUCACUUUCACCGGAAAAGCAGAGAAACCGACACGCAACAUCCAUGCAAUGUUCUUACUUCUAUUAAUUAAUUUCAUAUAUUUUUAUAUGCACCGAAUAGAUAGAUAUAUAAAGACGAAAUGACGUUAAUAAUACUAAUAAUAAUAAUAACUAAGAGAUAUUAAGGCACUGACAAAACUAUUGCUGCAAAUAUCUUUAAUUGUAUCAAUUUUUCUUUUACAGUUAACGUCCAUAAGAGCAAAGUAUCGCUUAGAAAGAAAUUUGCGAACGAUAAGAGAAAUAUUAUUAAUUAACAACAUUUUCAGGUUUUUCGUCCGCAAAUUGUGUACUCUGAGUGACUAUUAUACAGAGCAACUUUAUCGAAUUGAAUUAGUUUUCCUUCUUCAUCGUGCAUUGACGCUAUUAAUGAUCCAUAGUGAUUGUGAUGUUAUCGUUUCCUUCCUCCAAAGCCUACACACAAAUAUGUCGACAGAUAAAUUCCCUCAUAAGACCAAAAUCUCAAAGUAAACCAUUGAACGCGUACUUUGCAUGAAAAAUCUGGAUUCUUUUCCGACUUCUGAUGAAAGAUUGCAAUCAAAAUUAUAACCGAUCCUCGAUACCCCAUUUAAGGAAGAGAUCACAUCGUUUAAAUACUUCGUACACUUUGGUUGUGGCGCAUCCGUACCAAAAGGUGCGGAGAGAAAUGCAUAUGAACUUUUCUUAGAUACAAAACCUUACAUUUCUUCAUUCCGCUAAACACUAAUGAAAACUGUGUUCUGUAACUUAUCGCCAAUUCCCCAAAUAUAACCUAAACGGUAGCGCUGUUCGUUCUUUUUCCACCCACUGCCCAAACUGCUCUAUAAAGAUCACACAACUUUUAUGUUCAAUCUUUGCAUUGAUUUCCAAAUUUGAAUAUGCGUAGCAUGCCUUUUCGUUACACAUCACGUAGAAAGCAGUCUGAACUUUCGUUGCUGCCUCUACGUGACACAUUGAUAUGAAUAUCGUUGUGCGGAUAUAUAUAUAACGUGCCGUACAACUUAAUCAGUUUCUGAAUCUUUAUAUUUUUGCCAUACGAUCUAAAGUUCGCAAUUACUAACAUGUUUUGAGAUAUUCGGCCCACUUUUUCGAUCGCUGCCAAUGCAACGGCAUAUUUUGAAAAUUUCUCAUAGGAAAAAUAUUUUGACAAUUUCUCAAUGAAAAUCGCUGAGCAAUAGCGUUUCCGGUAAAUGCGUUAGAAAUGUUUUGAUCGAAUGCGGCAAUUUUUUGUCCCGCCUACCAUACAAACGUACAUACUACGCAAACGUAAUUUUUUUUUAUAUGGAAAAGGUGUAACUUUCAAUAUUUCAUAAAGAAAACUAAUUGAUUAUAACCAUUUGAUAUAAAAACUAACCAUGUUAGUUGAAGUUUCGAGCCUCCUUCAAUAUGAGAGCUUCCACAAAAGGCAUGCCUUUGAAUAUAAGUAAUUUAUAAUUAUUGGUAUAUUAUCAUGAAAAUGAUUUAUUUAUUAGGCAAAGUGGUGUAGAGUGUCUAAUGGUCGCGCUUGCCAGGCAAUAAUGUUCUUACUUGUUUGUUUCCAUUUCGUUUGCUAGUGAAUAAAUGGUUUAAACUAACAGUGUUCAGUCCACGGUUCAAUCACGUUAAAUACUCCAUUUUUCAGUCGACUCGACUACAUGUGCAAUUUAACGUACAAAGUUAACUCAGUUAGCGUUCCUACAGUACGACAUUCCGAGCAGGCGUAGAUCAUUUUUUCCUACACUAGAAUUGCAACCUCACUAUACAAAACCCAGUGAAGUUUUCGUGUCUUUUCUUACAAGAUGUAGAAGACAAUAUGAGAUUUCAUUUAUCGCACAUACAGGCUAUACGGUCUAUAUACCAUCAGUGUCAAUAACAUGUCUAAAAGCAAAGCAAGGAGAAAAGUGAAUCACGAAUCUACCCUAACGCAAUUUUUGAUCGCUUUUUUUAUACCUACCAUCGAAGGAUGGGGGAUAUACACACUUUAUCAAAACGUUUGCAACGCCCAGAGAAAAGCUUCAACAACCCAACAAAGUAUAAGAAUCUUGAUCAGCAUCAAAUUCUGAGUCGAUUUAAGUAUGACCGCCUGUUCGUCUAUCCGAUUGUCC
This is a long non-coding RNA of Glossina fuscipes, 2734 nucleotides long. RefSeq lists it as uncharacterized. Lineage: Eukaryota; Metazoa; Arthropoda; Insecta; Diptera; Glossinidae. The record is from RefSeq and is a predicted model, not a curated record. The transcript is spliced from 3 exons.